CCUAGGCUCUCAGAGGCGAUGAAGGACGUGAUAAGCUGCGAAAAGCUGCGGGGAUUGGCACAUACAAUUUGAUCCGCAGAUAUCCGAAUGGGGCAACCCACUAUAUUGAAGAUAUAGUAUCCGAAAGGAGGUGAACCCGGAGAACUGAAACAUCUAAGUACCCGGAGGAGAAGAAAACAAAAGUGAUUCCGUUAGUAGUGGCGAGCGAACGCGGAUUAGCCCAAACCAAUAUUGUUACGGCAAUGUUGGGGUUGUAGGACUACAAUAUUUGAAACUAAGUUAACUAGAAUUGUUUGGAAAGACAAACCGUAGAGAGUGAUAGUCUCGUAAAGGUAAGCGAAGUGGAGAUAGUAGUAUCCUGAGUAGUGCGGGGCACGUGUAACCCUGUGUGAAUUUGGCGGGACCAUC
RNAcentral lists this ribosomal RNA (408 nucleotides) under Seonamhaeicola marinus. RNAcentral's name for it is "partial 23S ribosomal RNA". It matches the Rfam family "Bacterial large subunit ribosomal RNA", at positions 31 to 457 of the family's 2925-position model. Lineage: Bacteria; Pseudomonadati; Bacteroidota; Flavobacteriia; Flavobacteriales; Flavobacteriaceae. The record is from RNAcentral.